GACGAACGCUGGCGGCGCGCUUAACACAUGCAAGUCGAACGGAAAGGCCUGCUUUCCCUUGUGGAUUGCGGGUACUCGAGUGGCGAACGGGUGAGUAACACGUGAGUGAUCUGCCCCCAACUUGGGUAUAAGCCUGGGAAACUGGGUCUAAUUCCCGAUAGGACUGCAGGGUGGUGCCUGUGGUGGAAAACGAUUUUCUAGUGGUUGGGGAUGAGCUCGCGGCCUAUCAGCUUGUUGGUGGGGUAAUGGCCUACCAAGGCGGCGACGGGUAGCCGGCCUGGGAGGGUGGACGGCCACAUUGGACCUGAGAUACGGCCCAGAAGCCUACGGGAGGCAGCAGUGGGGAAUAUUGCACAAUGGGCGGAAGCCUGAUGCAGCGACGCCGCGUGGGGGAUGACGGCCUUCGGGUUGUAAACUCCUUCCGACCGCGAGGAAGCCACCUGGUUGGAAGGGUGGUGACGGUAGUGGUAGAAGAAGCACCGGCUAACUACGUG
Molecule: ribosomal RNA, 494 nt
Filed under: uncultured bacterium
Lineage: Bacteria
Description: partial 16S ribosomal RNA
Rfam family: Bacterial small subunit ribosomal RNA
Source: RNAcentral